AGAGUCUUAGUUGCUUCUGAUAAACUGCUGCAGAUAUCAGUGAUCUUACCUGGAGUCCAAUAAGUCUAGUCCUGAAGAACCAUUGCCUCUCCGACAGUGACUCCACGAUUUUCACAAAGAACAGACCAGCAGUCAGUGCAUAAACAUCAUAUCUAGAAGCUGCAUCGGCAUCGACAACCUUGAUGAAAGCUAUGAGAAACAGCGGGGAGACAGUCAUUGCGAGAAUCUUGAGGAGUGCAAAGAACCCUGAAACCAAAAUUGCUUUCCACUGGCAGAAAAAAAUUAUGGUCAGAACAGAAGGGUCACUACUGGAUGGAUGUCUUUCCUUUCUUUUCUGCAAUUGCACCUUAAAUACUGAGUGCAACGUUCUUGCUCGAUCAGCUUCUCGCAAUUGUGGAAUAUCUUCAUUCUCAAGAAUCUUUUCCUUACCUUUCUUCAUCAAAGGAUUCAACCACCAAAAUGUCAUUUUACUAAACAAUCCAGCCUUUGCAAAAUGAGUUACAUUGUCAUCUGAACUGAUUUCAUCACCUGUGAUAUCCUGUUCUGCACCAGGCAAAGGUGUGUAGCAUGCAUCACCAUCAUGGACUUCCAGAUCACCCUGUGCAUUAUUGCUUCCUUCAAAUGCACUAAAAAGCAACAGAACUGAUCCAGGGAAACAAAGAAUGUUCAAAACAAUCAGAACUGAUAAGGUCUCAUCCAUAAUAAAUUCCCAAACUGAUGAACCACAGAGAAGAAAUGCAAUCAAGAAACCAAAAAUUGAAAAGAAUUUCAUUAUUGCAUAAUGUGGAAGGUCUGGUUUCGAGAGGUUUAUGGUAAAACCCAGGCCCAACCAUGUAAACCCUUGAAAAAAAUAUACUAGCCAUCCAUGUAGAGGUAAAACCGUGUGAUAUGUAUCUACUUUCUCAAUGAUUAUCCAUAUCCCCAGUCCCAAGUAAGCCAAAGCCAAACCAGCAUUGAAAAUGACUGAGACAAUUGAUACUGUAGAGAAGGUGUAAGGUUGUGAUGGUGCUAUAAUCUUCUUUGACGCUAUUCUAUACAUAAGGAAACAUAACAAGAUGAAUAGGAGCAAAAUAUCAACUGCAAUGACCACAACAUUGUUGAUACAUGAAUUUGGAUUGAUAAUGGCUAGAAUGCCAGAACUGCAUUCAUUUCCGGACUCAUUUGAACACUCGGAACCAGUGCAGAAUAAGGUCCAGAAACCCUCCCCCAUGCUGUUCCCCAGUAAUCUGUAAAGUCUGCACAAUUACAAGCAAGAAGAAUUUAAAAGCAGAAAAGGAAAUGUAUGUUAUAUACACUGUUAAUUUUAAGCAGACUAACAAAAUUAAGACCACAUAUGAACAACAUAUAUGUACUUGAAAACAUAAUUGUAAAGGUGAGUGCAUACCUUUUCACAGAUUCGGAGAAAACUUCUCUGAUAGUCGGGUACAUAUGAAGUUAGCACCAAGUAAGGAAAAUGUACUAUUCAAGUUUGAAUGCUAUAAACCUAUACCCAUCAAAUGCAUAUAAUAUAACUCAAUAAAGAUGCAUUCAGACAUUGGGAAAACACAGAAAUCUCCCUCUAGGUCUAACAUGCAUUCAAAUAUAAAUGCUUACUUGUUUUUCUUUGGAGGUCUCUAGCUAGUUCAUGCAGUAACCUGCCUUUCAAACACACACACACACACACACACACACACACACACACAGAUUUUUCUGUCUUUAUCAAAAGCAAGAAUUCAUACCCUGCGAACUUGUCUCUCUCGUUAUAGUGCUUUUAAUGAGCGAUAUGCACAUUUAACCACCAAUUUUGAUCUUCUUUUUGCACAGUUAAUUCAAACAACCCACCUAUCCAUAACACAGCUACAGAUAUAACCAAUUUUCGAUCUAGUAGGUCUUUCUAAGGGAGAUAUAGUACUAAUUAAUAAAGGAAAAUUAUGACAUGUAGAAUGAGCUGACAAAUUACUUGUAUUGUCAACAGAAAAGGACAAAGCUAGACUGGUUAGCCUUUCUCUUAUUGUCAAUAGAAAAGGAAACACUCCCCCCUUUUUCAAAAAAAAAAAAAAAAAGGAAACACUUGGGAGUCUCUGUUCCCUGUUCUCUGUUCUUAGCAGCAGUACUUCUGAACAUGCAAGUCCAGUUAUCCUUGUAGGAUGUUUUGAUCUUUUUAGACCUCCCAAAGAAUCAUGUAUGGCAAUGAUCAUAGAUGCCUUUUUUUGUUUGUCCAGUUUACCUUAGGAAACAAGUACACACUAUAUAUUAUAUGCCUGCACUGGAAAAUUAGAUUCAAGAUGUCACAUAUGGUUAUGGGAGGGACCAUAUGCAAUUCAAAACUUAGGCGGGCACUUAAUAAUUUCUGCAAACUAGAAACAGAUCCAAGUAAAUUCGAUAUGGCAGAAAACAUAAACAUAUGUUUUAUGGCUACUAAAAAAACUACCAUUCAGUAGCUGAUGCAGCAGACUACAGAUGGACCAAAUCUCCCACGGGAUGAUAAAUUGAUAUUAUAUGCUUCAAUGUUUUAUCUUCCAUUUUUUUUUUGGUAAGCGUUGAAGGACUAAUUUAUUGUCCCUCACGAAAAUUUAUUUGAUAAAAAAAAGGUACAAGAAGCUGGCGGACUAGGCCAAUGCCAGCCAUAUAGUACAAAUAACCUCUUUUGUAAAUAAACAAGUAAUCACAUAAAAAAACAUCAAUAAACACAUGACAAAGACAUUAACAAAUACGAAAAUUCGGGAGACCAAGUGCAUCUCGCCGGCAAUGAUCAACGAUGGAAAGAAAGAGAAGGAACAUCCCACCAUGACAUGCCGGUCAAUGAUAUCCGACCAUGAUGCAGUAUCUACUACAAUGAAAAUCUGCUCUAGAUCUGCUACAAUUAGUGAAUGUAAAGGCAUCAAUAGAUAGACAUAGCUACUAGGCCAGUUGUGUGGUUCAGAACAUAAGUGAACUUCACUCCCCAAGGCCAAUAUCUUCUCUACCCAACAAAAAGUCAUAUGGGUACUAUUGAACAUACCAAACCUUCAUACAAGAUAACAUUACACGUGAUAUAAUAACAUGUAAAGCAUGCUAAAAUACUUACCAUAUCCAAUAACAAGCACCUUAGUGCAGUCCAUCUCCAUCUGUCUGUAUCUUACUGUCAUUUCAGUAGUCUGUUCCAGCGUCCGUUGAAUUGGUGGCCAGGUUGCAGCUGAAUGCUUACACUUGGUACAAGUAAGAAUCAGGUCUCACUCAGUACUACACUGAUUAGUAUUGAGUUUUACUGGUCCCAUUUUCAACUGGUGGUCGAUGCUCAAGUACUCUCACUAUUCACUAUAACAACGCUACAAAAUAUUGGUCCUAUAUUAAUUGCUACUUGAUCUUCAAUUUGUAUGUUUCGUGCAAUUAAUCACUUUUCCGACCAAUAAUUUAAUGUGUCUUAUAUUUGGGAAUAAUUGAAAAGCACAAAGAAGAGCCUGCUGCCAAGUGCCAACUUAGAGACAGCCAUUUCUGGACUUUACUUCAUUUGCAAGUCUUAGGAAAAAAUAAGUUAGGUACGCCCAACCCUUUCUGUGACCAAACAGAUUUUCAACUCCUGAAUAGGGGAUAAUUGCAUACCCCCAGCAAGGGUACGUACUUGCCACAAACUAAUUCUGAUAUUAUGAAUGUGAGGCAGAUAUGCUCUAGAAAACAUACAUAAUGCACCCCUUUUAUUACAAUGCUAAUGGAAGGAAGCAAAAAGGAAAACAGAUAUAGUGGCCACUAGUAACAGGUAUGAAAAUACACAAGGGAAAUGAAACAAGUCUAGCAGGCAGAGCUUUAUUUACUACGUGAUCGAAAGCACCCCAGUACCUUUCACUAUCAGCCUUCUGAGUGCAUGCUAGCAUUGGCAGAACGAGACCAGUAUUCCUUAACAAGCUGCCCGAAUAGUGAUCCCUCAUUGUUCAUCAGCUUCAUUGGCUCAUCAUACUCUACUACUUUGCCUGUCAGUGUAAAUUUAGAAAAUGAACACCUAACAUCAAAUCAAAUAAUAAAUAAACAAAAGAGUAUUCCGUUCAUGGUGGGCACUUACCAUCACUAAGAGCGAGAACCUUAGUGCAGUCCAUCACGGUGGGUAUCCUAUGUGCCACUGUUAUUACAGUGCAGUCUGCAAAUUCUGUUCUUAUAGUUUUUUGGAGAAAAGAGUCUGUUGCAUUGUCCAUUGAUGCUGUGGCUUCAUCAAGCACUAGAAUUCGGCUUUUCUUCAGUAAAGCACGCCCCAAGCAGAACAGUUGUCGUUGUCCCAUGCUCCAGUUUGUUCCGUCUUGCACAACUGCAUUACCAUCUUUUUAGAUGUGCUUUCAUUGACACCAAAAAGUGCUACUCGGUACAUAACUUCUUACCUAAAGAAUCCAGGCCCCCUUCUUCCUCUCCAAUGGCCUCCCGUAGCUGACAUUUCUCAAGAACCUUUUCACAAAUCAAUGAAAGAAAUGUAAGUUGCAGAAAGAAACUACUGAGUAUGAAAUGGAUUUACUUGGCUUGUUAAGGACUUGCAAAAGAAAAUACCAUAGCUAAACAUGGAAUUAACCAACCAAUACUAGAAUUGAUCAUAGACUCGUACUCGUUAACAAAAAAGAAGAAAAACAGACUAUUUGUUAUUAGACUGAAAUAAAUAAGCUUUACCUCCCAUAUUUCAUGAUCGGUAUGCUCUGCCAAGGGAUCGAGGUUGUAUCUCACAGACCCGCCAAACAAUGUCGGAUCUUGAGGGAUGAUCCCAAAACGUGAUCUUAAAUCAUAAAGGCCAAUUGUGCAUAUGUCAUAGCCAUCAACGAUGACCCUUCCCCCUGUAGGCUCUACCAGACGAAACAAAACACUGAUAAGAGUUGUCUUUCCACUUCCAGUCCGGCCAACAAUUCCAAUUUUGUGGCCUCCCUCAAUGAUGCAGUUUAUCCCAUGGAGAACCAAAGGAGAAUUUGGCCUAUAUCUUACCUGCAUAAUGUUUGAGUGUCAUGUACAAGUUUAAAUUAAUGUUCGUAGAGUAGUACUCUUUACUUCUUUAGCAUGUAUUGUUAUGCUAACCUCUAAGUCAUGUAUUUCCACUUUACCAACAAUAGGCCAAUUGUGUGCAGGUCGGUUGUCUUUUAUCACUUCUGCAGCUUCGCUAGGAAUGUGCAUGUAUUGUUCUACCCUUUCUACAGAAAUGAUUGAAUUUGCUAAAAAGCAAUGAAAUUGGACCAAAAGUACUAGAAAGAUAUUCAGUGAAAGGCCAUAUGAUAGUGUCAUCCCAAUAAAUCCUGUCGAAAGAUGAAAAAUGUUAGACGGGUAUGAAUAAAUGGUUAUGAGGCACAUGAUUCAACCAGAGCAGAAGCUACUAUAUACUAACCAGAUGAAGAAGCACCGGACUGAAUCGAAGUAAUGGCAAAUGCUGAGGCUGAGAGAACAAUAGCACAAAGCAAUUCUAGACGUUCAAUUAACCACUCGUUGGUUGAGAAGCUAUUGAAGUCAGCACUAGAAUUUGCAUCAAUGAAUUCUAAGUUUUUGGAGAAGAAUCUUUCCUCCUGUCCAAAAGCUCUGAUUGUCACUGCUCCAGCAAUAGAUUCUGAAAGGUGGCUUGCAAGUGCAGACUUAGUCGUGCCAUUCAUGCGCAUCAACUCUUUUGAAGAUGCAAAGUAGUAACUCUAUUUGUAGAAAAGACAACCAUAUUCAAGUAAAACUGCAAGGAAAUGACUGAAGUUCUAAAUAUUGUGGUUAUUUAGGUUGGUUUUAGUGCAGUACCUGAAGGCGAAAAGUAACAUAAACUGUAGGUACAAUCAGGAAUAGUAGUGGCCAAGUAAGAAAAACCAUGACUAAGAAUAUGCUAAAUGUGUUCAGAGUUGCUCCAACAGCUACUGUUAACCUUAGCGCUACUUCAAGGUCGAUGAUAUUCAUAUCAGUAGAUACCUGAAAAGAUUGGCAAAUGCAAAUAUAAGAAACCUCCAUUUGGUUGCUGUAACAACAGAUACUUGAAGAGCAGAUUAUUUAAGCUAUAAUUGGACACUGUUAUAUCUUACCCGACUAAGUAUCCUCCCCAAAGGUGUUGAAUCAUAAAACAGCAUUGGUGCUCGGAAAAGGGAGUUCAGUAGGGUGGAGAAAAUGGAUUCUGAUGCUCCACAUCCUAAAUCGACAAUCCUAAAAGAUCGAAGAAGCAUACAGAAGGCCAUAAUACAAAAGAUCACAGAGUAAACUGUGAAGAGUUUGACCCUGGAAAUGCUGUAAUCCUGAAGAUUCAAAGCCAACCAAAAGUUUUGAAGUAACUGCCCAACUAUGAAUAGAAACAAGAAAACAACUGAUAAAGAGAAGUGCAAGAAUCCCUUGCCAUGCUUCAAAUACUGAAUGCAUGGCUUGAACCCAGUGUCUCCUGUUUCUCUCUCUUCUUUCUUAAUCAAUUGAUCUCCCGAAAAUUCUAUAAGUUGUACGUCAGUUCUAACAUUCUCAAUCUCCUCUGCAGACGAUUUAUGUUUUCUAGUGGAGGCAUAUUCAACUUGCCUCUGGGAACCAAAAUUCUUAUUGUGUGCAUUAACAGGUUCUCGAAAUUCUUGACAAAAAGCCAGCAACUCUUCGUAAGGAGCUGCUCCUGAAAUCGUCCCUGAAGACAUCAACUGUGACAAAAAGACAGUACACUACAUCACCUGUACUUACUGUACAUGCAUAUCAUUGAAUGGAAACUUUUUACAUGUACUAAAACCAACAAAGCUAAAAUACUAUUAAAACAAAGACAAAAGAACAUUAAUGAAUAGAACAACUGAGACAUUAGAAGAACUUAUACCAAUAUUGAAUCAAAAGAUUGAAGGAAGUCGACUUGGUGUGUCACAAGCAACACUGUCUUCUCUGCCAGAGCACCCAUGACAUAGUCCUGGAAAACUUUCACAUCAGAUUCCAAAGCACACAAAAAUGAUUACUAUUUACUACUUGAAAGAUAUAAUUACAUUAAAUAGGCUUGUGGCUGUAUGGGCAUCAACCGCACUGAAUGGAUCAUCCAAGAGGUAGACAUCUGCAUUUUGAUACAAUGCACGUGCCAGUUGGAUGCGUUGCUUCUGGCCACCACUUAGAUUGACACCUCUUUCUCCUAUCUGAGUGAGAUCUCGGAAUGGAAGUAUAUCUAAGUCCUUUACAAGAGAACACUUCCUAAGAGUUUCAUGGUAUCUAACAUGAUCCAUGGGAGUCCCAAACAGAAUAUUAUCUUGUAUAGUUCCUGUUUCAAUCCAAGCAGACUGAGAAACAUAUGCUAUCGUGCCAUAUACUUGAACCUGUAAAUUUGUGCAGUCACAAGAUGUAACUAGUAAGACUUCAAAUUUGUAGUAGUUAUAUAUAUAUAUAUAUAUAUAUAUAUAAUUGAAAUGAAUGCUUACAAUGCCAGUGAUAUGUGGAACUUCUCCAAGAAUAGCAGCCAAAAGAGUUGAUUUUCCUGAGCCAACCUCUCCACAAAUAGCUACUUUUUCUCCUUGUUUCACCACUAAAUCUAUGUUCCUCAAUGUAGGCUUUGUAGGACUAGUAUCCCAUGAAAUUUCUGAAGAUCUAAUGAAAAUGGAAUGUUCAACCUCCUUGCCACUGCUCACUUUCCUUGUAUGUCUGUUCUCCAACUCUGGUGCAUCAAGGAACUUCACAAUCUGAGAGAAGGACACCUGUGCUUCAAUGAAUGCUCCCAAAACAUCUGGGAUAAACCUUAUUGGCUCCUGAAGAAUACGCAAAGUUGCUAAAAAAGUGAAGACAUUACUUGGAGAGAGUGCAAAUCCAAGCAAGUAGCAUGUCCAAAAGGUGACAGCUGCUGCCAAAACAGGUGCUGUCCAGAAUAAAGCAUUACAAUAACCCUUUUGUGAGACUACUUUAGAUAUCCAUUUGAGUUCUUCUACUCUAAGCUCUUCUAUGACCUUCUUGAAAUUUUUCUCCCAAGAAUACAGCUUCAAGAUCUUCAUAUUUGAUAGUGCUUCCGUCAUGGCCUUCAGCCUCUUCUUUUGUGCAAUCAUGAACUUUGUUUGAUAUUCAUGCUGCAACUUUGCCAAUGGAGAGCUUACCACCACAGUCAAUAUGAGAGCAGUUACAGCUGCAACUGUUGCUGCCCCAACAGCGAAGUAAAUAAUAAUCAAAGAGAGACACAACUGGAGGGUUGUGGACCAAAUCUGAUGCAACCAGAAUGGAAAUUCACCAACCCUGUAAGCAUCCACUGUUACAUAAUUCACCAUCUCACCAGGAGAAUGAGUCAUCUUGGCAGCAUUUGAGAGUCUUAGUUGCUUCUGAUAAACUUCUGCAGAUAUCAAUGAUCUUAUCUGGAGUCCAAUAAGUCUAGUUCUAAAGAACCAUUGCCUCUCCGACAGUGACUCCACAAUUUUCACAAAGAACAGACCAGCGGUCAGUGCAUAAACCUCAUAUCUAGAAGCUGCAUUGGCAUCAACAACCUUGAUGAAAGCUAUGAGAAACAGUGGGGAGACAGUCAUUGCGAGAAUCUUGAGGAGUGCAAAGAACCCUGAAAC
This 8429-nucleotide long non-coding RNA is filed under the name Fragaria vesca (wild strawberry). Its description in RNAcentral is "long non-coding RNA (FVES_LNC002177)". Lineage: Eukaryota; Viridiplantae; Streptophyta; Magnoliopsida; Rosales; Rosaceae. The record is from RNAcentral.